Molecule: non-coding RNA, 27 nt
Filed under: Homo sapiens (human)
Lineage: Eukaryota; Metazoa; Chordata; Mammalia; Primates; Hominidae
Source: RNAcentral
UCCCAACCCUGAUAGCCGUAAUUGAGA